Molecule: long non-coding RNA, 696 nt
Filed under: Hordeum vulgare
Lineage: Eukaryota; Viridiplantae; Streptophyta; Magnoliopsida; Poales; Poaceae
Description: long non-coding RNA (HVUL_LNC014503)
Source: RNAcentral
UUUUACCGUGAAAGUUUUUUCUCCACUAAACAUUAAUUAGGCAUUACACGAUAUAAAGGAACUUGAUUAACAGGAAAUUAAUGGUAAUCACCAAUAUGUUAUGCGUAUUUUAGGACAACUACGAUCGCUAAGGGACGAGGGGCGGUCUGUGGAUACAUAUAAAUUUGAUUGCUAUCUCGUUAGUCCAUGACGAGCAUAUAUAACCACCAAAUUCUAGUGUUCUAGGCAAUUUGUAUACAUUGUUUGUUGAUGACCCAAAUCGUCACACAAUAAUGGGAUAUCCAGCUAUAUUUUGGUGUCGAUUGUAUUUCCUUUUGAGCAUCUUGAACCUAGCAUUAUAGACUUGUGCGCCCUCAUAUUUGUUGCCUUGUAAGUGGGAGAUAUGUCUUCGAACUACAAACCAAAUGAAAAUGAGGUUAUGUUCAUAGAGUCACUUUAAGUAAUAAAAUAUAAAUCUAAAUAAAAAAUGCAGUGACCUCGAUUGUGUUUCGGUCACAAAACUGAUCAAAAUUAUUUAAUGAAGAUGGUUAUAUGUACAAAGAAACCCUAAUAAUACUCAUAGUUGCACUUAGAUUAUGGCAAAAUUUCCCCACCUGGGCAGCCGUUGCCCCGCCCACCGCAUGCUCCGGACCUUCUUCCCCGCCACACUUCAUUGCCAUGGAAGCCUUCCAGCCAGCAUAUAUCGUCAACAUGGAG